UACGUAGGGUGCGAGCGUUAAUCGGAAUUACUGGGCGUAAAGCGUGCGCAGGCGGUUGUGUAAGUAAGAGGUGAAAGCCCGGAGCUCAACUCCGGAACUGCCUUUUAGACUGCAUCGCUUGAAUCCAGGAGAGGUGAGUGGAAUUCCGAGUGUAGAGGUGAAAUUCGUAGAUAUUCGGAAGAACACCAGUGGCGAAGGCGGCUCACUGGUCCGGUACUGACGCUGAGGUGCGAAAGCGUGGGGAGCAAACAGG
This 253-nucleotide ribosomal RNA is filed under the name uncultured bacterium. RNAcentral's name for it is "partial 16S ribosomal RNA". It matches the Rfam family "Bacterial small subunit ribosomal RNA", at positions 524 to 776 of the family's 1533-position model. The record is from RNAcentral.